RNAcentral lists this ribosomal RNA (492 nucleotides) under uncultured bacterium. RNAcentral's name for it is "partial 16S ribosomal RNA". It matches the Rfam family "Bacterial small subunit ribosomal RNA", at positions 29 to 507 of the family's 1533-position model. The record is from RNAcentral.
AGUGAACGCUGGCGGUAUGCCUAACACAUGCAAGUCGAACGGCAGCACACUAAGGGCUUGCUCUUACGGGUGGCGAGUGGCGGACGGGUGAGGAAUACAUCGGCAUCUACUUUUUCGUGGGGGAUAACGUAGGUAAACUUACGCUAAUACCGGAUACGACCUACGGGUGAAAGCAGGGGAUCUUCGGACCUUGCGCGAUUGAAUGCUCCGAUGUUGGAUUUGCUAGUUGGCGGGGUAAAGGCCCACCAAGGCGACGAUCCGUAGCUGGUCUGAGAGGAUGAUAAGCCACACUGGAACGGAGACACGGUCAAGACUCCUAAGGGAGGGACCAGUGGGGAAUGUUGGACAACGGGGGGAAGCAUGAUCCAGCGAUCCCGCGUGUGUUAAGAAGGCCUCCGGGUUGUAAUGACCGUUUGUUGGGAAAGAAAAGCAGCAGGUUAAUACCAAGCUGUACUGACGGUACCCAAAGAAUAAGCACCGGCUAACUUCGUG